This 72-nucleotide transfer RNA is filed under the name Levilactobacillus bambusae. It matches the Rfam family "tRNA". Rfam says of the family: Transfer RNA (tRNA) molecules are approximately 80 nucleotides in length. Lineage: Bacteria; Bacillati; Bacillota; Bacilli; Lactobacillales; Lactobacillaceae. The record is from Rfam by way of RNAcentral.
GCCGUUUUAGCUCAAUAGGUAGAGCACUUCCAUGGUAAGGGAGAGAUGUCGGUUCAAAUCCGCCAAAUGGCU